CUGCAAGUGCCCGUGCGUCGCGACCAAGCCGCCAGGACACCGCCGCGCCGUUCUCCUGCGUCGUCCCGACGCCCGCCCUCUGCCCCGACGUUCUCCUGCGCCGUCCCGACACCGACUGCUCGUUCCCGCCGCCAGGAUCACGUCUCUGGCCCGACGUCCGUGCGGCCCCUCGUCGCUGCAGUGCUGCACCGCCCAGUCGCAUCCCCGCCCGGACGCCGCCGCCAAGCCGACCGUGACCGUCCCUGCUGCGCCAUCGCCCCGAUGGACGCGGACAACGUCACCACCACUGCGGCCAUGCUGGCCGCCUUGGGCACCACCAGCCCCGCGACGCAACCCCCCGUUGCCCCUGCUGAAAUCAGCAGCACGCUCACCCAUGGAGGGGCACCCUACAUCGCCGGCCUCGGGCCUCUCCACGUGCUCCACCCCCAUAGAGCCUCCACCAAGAUGCUGCAACGAAGAAAUGUCAUGCCUCAAACCAUGAAACAUGGAGCAGCUGCAGUUCAAAUAUGA
RNAcentral lists this unclassified non-coding RNA (510 nucleotides) under Zea mays. RNAcentral describes it as "misc RNA Zm00001eb089640". The record is from RNAcentral. Lineage: Eukaryota; Viridiplantae; Streptophyta; Magnoliopsida; Poales; Poaceae.